This 1424-nucleotide long non-coding RNA is filed under the name Olea europaea (common olive). RNAcentral describes it as "long non-coding RNA (OEUR_LNC010414)". Lineage: Eukaryota; Viridiplantae; Streptophyta; Magnoliopsida; Lamiales; Oleaceae. The record is from RNAcentral.
ACAAAGAGCCUCUUUAUUUAUUCUUUUCAAUUGAGGAUCAAAGUUUUGAAUUCUAAAGAAGAGAACAUUUUAUGUAGUUAAAUUGGUGGUACAUCCUAUAUGAUCCUGCAUUUCUAAGUACCUAUAACUACUUUAAAAAUUCCUAAAAGUGGGGAAAUGCAAAAAAUAUUUUUCAACAUUGCGUUUAUUGUAAAAUUCCAAAUUUACCUUUUAUUCAAAAUUAUAAAUAUAUCUACUAUGUUCCUGAUUUAGUUUAAAACUUUAGUUAUUUUAUCAUACUAGGAAACUUGUUAAUUAGUACUAAUUGACAUUUCUUGCAUUACUCCUGUUCACACUAGCAAUUUUCAAUUUAGCCUUGGAUUCAUCAUAUAGCAUUUAACUUAUACUGUUUCCCAUCAAAAGUUAGUGCUGAAUCUUUUUAGCUUUUCAAUUAUUUGAAUUUCCUUACACAACCAUUUAUGUUUAUUUAGAUAUUAGAGCUUGAAUAAUUAGACUUACAAAAACUCAUAUAUGUUGGGUUGAUGCAAUAAAUACUUCUUUCAGUUCUUUUCACUUCUUACAAUUACCAGUUGCUCUUUUGAACUUGAUAUUUCCUGAUAGAGAAAUGUAAACUAAUUUUUGAUUCUUACAUAACUAAAUGCGGUUUUGCUUGAAGUAGAAUUUACUGCAAAUUGACCAUAUAUUCAAGAUCAAGCCAUGAAAUUCAACUGAAAGUUCUGUUUUGAUGAUAGCUUAUGUUUAAAUUGAUAGAUAAUUUGUUAUUUUUAAAUUAAAAUGUAAGAAACCAUGGAUUGCAAUCAUGAUGACAAGGGAAAUUGUGUUGGUGUUGCAUCGUUGUAAUGAAUAAACUCGUGAAGCUUGAGAAAUUAGUCUUAACAUCUGGUUUUAAUCUCUAACUUUAUGAGCAAAAAUCUUUGGGGAUGAAAUUUGUUAUUUUCCUUCCACGCUAUUAAAUAGAUCCACUUACUGUUGAGCAGUUAUGCAGAGAUCCAAAUACGAGAAAAAUAUUUCCACGAAACAGUGUGAUUUUGACCGUUUUUCUUGUAGAGUUGGUAAUUCUAACUUCAAAACUCAUAUAGACUUUUCCAGCUAUAACCCUCAGUAGUUACCUUCAUAUUUGUCUCGUAAAAGUUCAGCAGUUUACAAAGAUACGGCUCUCAAAAGUUUAAGACAAUCUUGUGGUGCAUCCAUCUUAGUGAUGGAAGGCAAUCCUAUUAUGUGCAGUGUUGCUUACCAUUAUGGCGUUGGAAAAAAGUCAAUCUUUUCUUUUAGUUUAAGUCUAACCAUGCUCAAUAGUUUCUAUUACUUUUGCCGACUGAUUCACGUACACUAUCAGAAAUUGGUGCCGCUAGUUCGGUAUUCCUUGGCUUUCCACCCUCUCCUACACUUUCAGUUGCCACUUCAUCCAAGGUAAUAAAAAAAAA